RNAcentral lists this ribosomal RNA (261 nucleotides) under uncultured prokaryote. RNAcentral's name for it is "partial 16S ribosomal RNA". It matches the Rfam family "Bacterial small subunit ribosomal RNA", at positions 524 to 784 of the family's 1533-position model. The record is from RNAcentral.
UACGUAGGUGGCAAGCGUUGUCCGGAUUUAUUGGGCGUAAAGCGAGCGCAGGUGGUUCCUUAAGUCUGAUGUGAAAGCCCACGGCUCAACCGUGGAAGGUCAUUGGAAACUGGGGAACUUGAGUGCAGAAGAGGAGAGUGGAAUUCCAUGUGUAGCGGUGAAAUGCGUAGAUAUAUGGAGGAACACCAGUGGCGAAGGCGACUCUCUGGUCUGUAACUGACGCUGAGGCUCGAAAGCGUGGGGAGCAAACAGGAUUAGAUA